This 373-nucleotide ribosomal RNA is filed under the name uncultured organism. Its description in RNAcentral is "partial 16S ribosomal RNA". It matches the Rfam family "Bacterial small subunit ribosomal RNA", at positions 527 to 896 of the family's 1533-position model. The record is from RNAcentral.
GUAGGUGGCAAGCGUUGUCCGGAAUUAUUGGGCGUAAAGCGCGCGCAGGCGGUUCUUUAAGUCUGAUGUGAAAGCCCGCGGGCUCAACCGUGGAGGGUCAUUGGAAACUGGAGAACUUGAGUACAGAAGAGGAAAGCGGAAUUCCACGUGUAGCGGUGAAGUGCGUAGAGAUGUGGAGGAACACCAGUGGCGAAGGCGGCUUUCUGGUCUGUAACUGACGCUGAGGCGCGAAAGCGUGGGGAGCAAACAGGAUUAGAUACCCUGGUAGUCCACGCCGUAAACGAUGAGUGCUAAGUGUUAGGGGGUUUCCGCCCCUUAGUGCUGCAGCUAACGCAUUAAGCACUCCGCCUGGGGAGUACGGCCGCAAAGGCUG